UCCCUGGUGGUCCCAGUGGCUGGGAAACUGCACUCCCAAUGCAGGGAGCCUGGGUUCGAUCCCCGGUCAGGGAA
Molecule: transfer RNA, 74 nt
Filed under: Odocoileus virginianus texanus
Lineage: Eukaryota; Metazoa; Chordata; Mammalia; Artiodactyla; Cervidae
Also listed under: 3 other names
Rfam family: tRNA
About the family: Transfer RNA (tRNA) molecules are approximately 80 nucleotides in length. Their secondary structure includes four short double-helical elements and three loops (D, anti-codon, and T loops).
Source: Rfam by way of RNAcentral